RNAcentral lists this ribosomal RNA (1433 nucleotides) under metagenome. RNAcentral describes it as "bacterial SSU rRNA". It matches the Rfam family "Archaeal small subunit ribosomal RNA". The record is from RNAcentral.
UCCAGCUGAUCCUGCUGGCGGGUACUGCUAUCGAAAUCCGACUUAGCCAUGCAAGUUCAAAAAGCACAGCAAGUGUUUUUGGCGAACGGCUCAGUAACACGUAGCUAACCUACCUUUCAGAGGAGUUAAUCCCGGGAAACUGGGGAUAAUGCUUCAUAGACAACAUUUUCUGGAAUGAUUUGUUGUUGAAAAGAUGCAAACUAUUGCUGUUUGUUAUCGCUGUAAGAUGGGGCUGCGGUGGAUUAGGUUGUUGGCGGGGUAAUUGCCCACCAAGCCGAUGAUCCAUACGGGCCUUGAGAGAGGUAGCCCGUAGAAGGGAACUGAGAUAAGGUCCCUAGCCCUACGGGGUGCAGCAGUCGCGAAACCUCUACAAUGCGCGAAAGCGUGAUAGGGGGAUUUCGAGUGCCAACUUUGUUGGCUUUUAUUAAGCCUAAAUCGCUUGAUGAAUAAAGGGGGGGUAAUAUACGUGCCAGCCGCCGCGGUAAUACGUAAUCCCUAAGUGGUACCCACUAAUAUUGGGCCUAAAACGUCUGUAGCCUGUUAAGAAAGUCUUUAGUGAAAUCUUCCAGCUUAACUGGUAGAAUUGCUAGAGAAACUUCUUGGCUCGAGACCGGUAGACGUGAAGGGAAUUUUUGGGGUAGCGGUGAAAUGUUAUGAUCCUAAAAAGACCACCAGUAGCGAAGGCGCUUCACGAGGACGGAUCUGACGGUGAGAGACGAAAGCUGGGGGAGCGACCCGGAUUAGAUACCCGGUUAGUCCCAGCCGUAAACGAUGUGGACUCGGUGUCCUAGCACCUACAUGGUGUGGGGGUGCCAAAGCGAAGGCGUUAAGUCCACUGCCUGGGAAGUACGCUCGCAAGGGUGAAACUUAAUGGAAUUGGCGGGGACGCACUACAAGGGGUGGAUGCUGCGGUUCAAUUGGAUGAAUCGCCUGAUAAUCUUACCAGGGACGACAGCUUUAUGAUGGUCAGUCUGAAGGGCUUACCUGAGUCGCUGAGAGGUGUUGUAUGGUCAUCGUCAGCUCGUACUAAAGCGUCCUGUCAACUCAGGCAACGGGCGAGACCCACAUUCAUAGUUGCUAGUUCAGCUUUUGCUGGGCGCACUCUAUGAAGACUGCUAUGGCAACAUAGAGGAAGGAGUGGGCAACGGUAGAUCUGUAUGGCCCGAAUUUCCUGGGCAACACGCGGCAUACAAUGGUUGAGACAAUGGGCUCCAACUCCGAAAGGAGACGGUAAUCUCUUAACCUCAACCUCAGUUCGAAUUGAGGGUUGUAACUCACCCUCAUGAAGAUGGAAUCCCCAGUAAUCGUGCGUCAUUAUCGCACGGUGAAUAAGUCCCUGCGUCUUGCACACACCGCCCAUCAAGCCAGCUGAGUAAGGUUUAGAUGAGGUGUUUUCAUUAGAGGACAUCGAUUCUGAGUCUCGCAAGGCGGGC